AAGUCGUAACAAGGUUUCCGUAGGUGAACCUGCGGAAGGAUCAUUAUUACGAAAUCAAAAAUCGUAACCCCAAACAACAAAUUGUGCAUUUCUGUACUGUUCCGGUAGUUUCAUUUGACCUUUGUAAAGGCUUACUUUGAUGUGCUUGCUUCAAAAACAUGCAUAUUCAAAGCACUUCUGAGCAGAUGAAGUGAACGGGUCUUUUUCGUCGAAUGAUUUCAAACUACCGGUUAGUAAUAUCUGCUCACACACUUAACAAACCAUUAACCCCAUGUAACUAUUUUGAACUAAAUACAUCUGACGCAUGCAUCUCAUGUAUGUGUCUGAAUCAAAACCGAACUUAAGAACAACUCUUAACAACGGAUAUCUUGGUUCUC
This 377-nucleotide unclassified non-coding RNA is filed under the name fungal sp. RNAcentral's name for it is "partial internal transcribed spacer region". The stretch from base 1 to 46 matches the Rfam family "Eukaryotic small subunit ribosomal RNA", at positions 1786 to 1831 of the family's 1831-position model. The record is from RNAcentral. Lineage: Eukaryota; Fungi.